This 1265-nucleotide long non-coding RNA is filed under the name Equus asinus (donkey). RNAcentral's name for it is "lncRNA (ENSEASG00005026413.1)". The record is from RNAcentral. Lineage: Eukaryota; Metazoa; Chordata; Mammalia; Perissodactyla; Equidae.
GUCACUGCCGCAGCACUGCUGCCAACGAGUGGUGUCGGUCCACACCUCAGAACCAGACCCAGGGCCCUGAAGCAGAGCUCACUGAACUUAACCUCUAGGCCAUGGGGCUGGCCCCUGAUCACGGACAUUUUUAACAAGAGAUAAAGAAUGUUGCUGCUCGCUACACUAGUCAGCUCUGGAAAGUUCUGUCUCAUGGAAUGAAGAACUAUGCUCAUAAAAGAGGAAAAAAAGGCCGUGCUCUUAGGAAGGACCUGUAGUCCUGGAGUUUCGCUUCAGCGGUUGUUAAACUGGGGGACGUACAGCCCUGAGGUUAUACAGAAGCUUUACAAGAGUCUCUUGCAAGAUGGUUUCAGGGCAUUCCUUUACGGAUCUGUAGCUUCCGUUUGUACUUUUUUCUAAAAUCCUUCUGCAGUGGACGUGUGGAGGCACAAGGGGGCUGCUUUUCCCCACCUACCCUUUCUUCCUCCCACCGCCCCCUCCCCACCAAGGCUGUUCAUUGUCCUGGAGCAUGAAAACCUCUGGGGUGACCAAGAAAAGAACAGGUUUAUAUAUUGAUGUCCAGUGGGACUUCAAAGUCUAGGUAACAAAGGUUCUUGCAAAUCAGGUGCAAAAUGAAAGAGAAGCUAAUUGAUGCGUCAGCUGAUAGAAGAUUGGAAAUAACUCAUGAAAGAUGGCUGCGUAGUUCUCACACAUCAUUCCAAAGGAAUUCGAAGACUUGAAUAAUAUUGCAGUAACAAUGUACCUUUCAUUUUCAUUUAUUUAUGUGAAUAAUGUUUCCUGUCACUUAAAUCUUUAAUAAGGAAAAAUAGGAAGAGACUGGAUGUUGAAACUUGUCUCUUAGAACUCAUUUUAAUCUAUGGAUAUAUGAACUUGGCUAUGAAACAGCUACAUUCAUUUAACUAAAUGAUGCUCUUCCAAUGCAAUUUCACUUAAUAUUUAUCACAAUUUGAAAGAUAUUUAUGCUACUUUGAUUAAAAUUAUGUACUACUAGUUGUAAAGGUAAUCAAUCCUAAAAAAUUUUUUAACACGAGUUCUAUGAUCAUAAGAGACAAAAAAAUUGAAAUUUCUGUUUAGAGACAUAUAUUUUUGUGGCCAAGAAAUGUGAAGCAUGGUUGAAAAAAGACUUUGGAGCUUAAAAAGAUACGUUGCCAAAGGAUAAAAUUCUGGCAGAAAUGAAAUGGGUUUAAGGAGGAAAAGAAAGAAUGUAAAAUCUAUUACUGUAAAAAAAGAGCUCAGGCAUGUAUCUUUAAAAUGGAUGAUGGUGG